UCCAGACCCCUACGGGAGGCAGCAGUGGGGAAUAUUGCACAAUGGGGGAAGCCCUGAUGCAGCGACGCCGCGUGAGUGAAGAAGUAUUUCGGUAUGUAAAGCUCUAUCAGCAGGGAAGAGAAUGACGGUACCUGAGUAAGAAGCCCCGGCUAACUACGUGCCAGCAGCCGCGGUAAUACGUAGGGGGCAAGCGUUAUCCGGAUUCACUGGGUGUAAAGGGAGCGUAGACGGCGACGCAAGUCUGGAGUGAAAGCCCGGGGCCCAACCCCGGGACUGCUCUGGAAACUGCGUCGCUGGAGUACGGGAGGGGCAGGCGGAAUUCCUGGUGUAGCGGUGAAAUGCGUAGAUAUCAGGAGGAACACCGGCGGCGAAGGCGGCCUGCUGGACUGCAACUGACGUUGAGGCCCGAAAGCGUGGGGAGCAAACAGGAUUAGAUACCCUGGUACU
This 447-nucleotide ribosomal RNA is filed under the name uncultured bacterium. RNAcentral describes it as "bacterial SSU rRNA". It matches the Rfam family "Bacterial small subunit ribosomal RNA", at positions 330 to 794 of the family's 1533-position model. The record is from RNAcentral.